GGCGAUAUGGCCGAGCGGUCUAAGGCGCCAGAAUCAGGACGUUGUGCCAUCUGGUCCUCACGGGCGUGGGUUCGAAUCCCACUGUCGUCA
Non-coding RNA from Pilatotrama ljubarskyi, 90 nucleotides. The record is from the annotation of a GenBank genome assembly. NCBI's taxonomy places the organism in Eukaryota, Fungi, Basidiomycota, Agaricomycetes, Polyporales, Polyporaceae.